RNAcentral lists this long non-coding RNA (932 nucleotides) under Cricetulus griseus (Chinese hamster). Its description in RNAcentral is "lncRNA (ENSCGRG00015030976.1)". Lineage: Eukaryota; Metazoa; Chordata; Mammalia; Rodentia; Cricetidae. The record is from RNAcentral.
AGUGUCUGGAUUAAUAGAAGACAGCUGGAUUCUCAUGUCUGCCGCCACAUCAGUCUGUCUUAAGAUGUUGUUUGGGUUGAAGUACAUGAAGAAAAUCCAGCCGUACUCUGAUGUGCAGUGGAAACAAAGAGAACUUGAAAAAGAUCUCAGAUUAUUGGCACAGAAUGGUCCAGAGGAUAAGAAAGAUCCAUAGCUGAGGCCAUUGUUCUUUUCUACAGCUAAUGAUGAAGACUGAUGCUGAGGGUGAAGCCUCUGGAUCUACCCAUGUUCUGUUAUCAAAGAAGAAAAUUCUCAUCACUUUACUUCCAGGAAUGGAAAGUUUGUUUGAAUUGUUGUUGUGUGAUUACUAUUGUUGUUGCUUAUGUGUAUGUAUGUGCAUGCACAUGCUAUGGUGGCCCACACAGAGUCAGAGGAUAACUUUGUGAAGGCAAUUCUCUCCUACCAUAUGGGUUCUGGGGAUGGAACUUGGGCCACAGACUUGGUUGGCAGAAAGCUCCUUCACAUUCUAAGCCAUCUUGCAGUCCUGUUUGGUGUUUUGAGACAGGAGUUCAUAUAAUUCAAGGUGGCCUCAAACUCACUACAUAGACAAAAAGAAGAUAACCUAGCCGGGCAUUGGUGGCACAGCCUUUAAUCCCAGCACUCGGGAGGCAGAGGCAGAGGCAGGCAGAUCUCUGUGAGUUCGAGGCCAGCCUGGUCUCCAGAGUGAGUUCCAGGAUAGGCUCCAAAACUACACAGAGAAACCCUGCCUCGAAAAACCAAACAAGAAGAAGAAGAAGAAGAAGAAGAAGAAGAAGAAGAAGAAGAAGAAGAAGAAGAAGAAGAAGAAGAAGAUAACCUUGAGUACCUGUGCCUCUUGCCUGUGCCACCACAUCUGACUAAAAAGUGCUGUUAUUUAACUACUAUUAUUUUGUUUUGUUUUACACAAAGAUUCA